This 478-nucleotide ribosomal RNA is filed under the name uncultured bacterium. RNAcentral's name for it is "partial 16S ribosomal RNA". It matches the Rfam family "Bacterial small subunit ribosomal RNA", at positions 28 to 507 of the family's 1533-position model. The record is from RNAcentral.
GAUGAACGCUGGCGGCGUGCUUAACACAUGCAAGUCGAACGAGAAGUGAAGACGGAAACCUUCGGGCGGAAGGCUUUAUUUCGAGUGGCGGACGGGUGAGUAACGCGUGGGUAACCUGCCUCAUACAGGGGGAUAACAGUUGGAAACGACUGUUAAUACCGCAUAAGACCACAGCACCGCAUGGUGCGGGGGUAAAAACUCCGGUGGUAUGAGAUGGACCCGCGUUCGAUUAGCCAGUUGGCGGGGUAACGGCCCACCAAAGCGACGAACGAUAGCCGAUCUGAGAGGAUGACCGGCCACAUUGGGACUGAGACACGGCCCAAACUCCUACGGGAGGCAGCAGUGGGGAAUAUUGCACAAUGGGGGAAAACCUGAUGCAGCGACGCCGCGUGAGUGAAGAAGUAUUUCGGUAUGUAAAGCUCUAUCAGCAGGGAAGAAAAUGACGGUACCUGAGUAAGAAGCCCCGGCUAACUACGUG